CUCGUGCCCAACCUUUUUUCCCGAGAGCAUGAUGCCCUAAGGCAGUGCUGGUGAUGGGGAAAAAAUCGUAACAAGGUAGCCGUCCCGGAAGGUGUGGCUGGACAAAAACCUUUUUAGGGACACCUACACCCCUCAAAACUCGAAAGCCAAUUGCCAAUAAAGAUUGAGUUGGUCUAACCUUUUAACAAAAAAAAAAAUUUUGCUGACCUUUCAAACUAUACAUUGGUUCGGAUAAUGGGCUAUUACCUCAGGUGGUUGGAGCGCACCCCUGAUAAGGGUGAGGCCCCUGUUUUGAGUCCCGAUGGCCCACUGAAACAUUU
RNAcentral lists this unclassified non-coding RNA (320 nucleotides) under Nostoc sp. C21-b. Its description in RNAcentral is "partial contains 16S ribosomal RNA and 16S-23S ribosomal RNA intergenic spacer". Lineage: Bacteria; Bacillati; Cyanobacteriota; Cyanophyceae; Nostocales; Nostocaceae. The record is from RNAcentral.